UACAGAGGGUGCGAGCGUUGUCCGGAAUCACUGGGCGUAAAGGGCGCGUAGGUGGUGGCUUAAGCGUGCGGUGAAAGCUCGGGGCUCAACUCCGAGUCGGCCGUGCGAACUGGGCUCACUGGAGCAUAGUAGAGGCAGGUGGAAUUCCGGGUGUAGCGGUGGAAUGCGCAGAUAUCAGGAGGAACACCGGCGGCGAAGGCGGCACUCUGGGCCGGUACUGACGCUGAGGAGCGAAAGCGUGGGUAGCAAACAGG
RNAcentral lists this ribosomal RNA (254 nucleotides) under uncultured bacterium. RNAcentral's name for it is "partial 16S ribosomal RNA". It matches the Rfam family "Bacterial small subunit ribosomal RNA", at positions 524 to 776 of the family's 1533-position model. The record is from RNAcentral.